AUACGGAGGGUGCAAGCGUUGUUCGGAAUCACUGGGCGUAAAGGGCGCGCAGGCGGUUUGGUAAGUCAGAUGUGAAAGCCCAUGGCUCAACCAUGGAAGUGCAUUUGAAACUGUCAGACUUGAGUACUAGAGGGGAAAGUGGAAUUCCCGGUGUAGAGGUGAAAUUCGUAGAUAUCGGGAGGAAUACCGGUGGCGAAGGCGACUUUCUGGCUAGAUACUGACGCUGAGGCGCGAAAGCGUGGGGAGCAAACAGGAUUAGAUACCCCUGUAGUCC
RNAcentral lists this ribosomal RNA (274 nucleotides) under uncultured bacterium. RNAcentral describes it as "partial 16S ribosomal RNA". It matches the Rfam family "Bacterial small subunit ribosomal RNA", at positions 523 to 796 of the family's 1533-position model. The record is from RNAcentral.